AGCUUUUCACCCGGAGGGUUCGUAAUGUCACGCGAAUCGGGACGCAGGCCCGUUGAUGCCGAUGACGACGAUGCUCUGGGGAAGCACCAGCGGGACGGGCGCUUCUACAGGGCUCCCGACAGGGAGUGUGUGGAUGCGCUGCUGGAUAUUAGUGAGGAGGAGCAGCAGGCUUAUGAGUCCCAGACUCAAAGUGGCUGGGAGGAAGCUAUGCAAGGAUGGGGUCAGUCUUCCCCUCUUGCUUGCUUGUUUCAAGCCCACAGCAAAGGGACUACGGUCAAAUCAGAUGUCAUAGAUUCCCAUUGUGUUCUGUGUGCUGAUUUAAAGCACCUGAAGCUGUCUGAAAUCCUUGGUCCUGAACGUUCUGGAACCUCUGUUGAACUGUCCUGUGAAACUGCUGAGGAACCUCUUUCUACCACCCCGGAACUCCUAGAGAGAGCUCCCAGCAAUAUUUCAUCCUGUUCUUCCCCAGAAGAGGAAAAAUCAGAUUUUUACUUUGUCCAGGAGAGGAACAUCAAGUCGGACUCUCUUGAAGAUGAACUACUGUUUGAAGGUGAACCAUGCAUAAACAAUCAAACUCUUCCUCACCCCCCUCAGCAUAACACGCAGUGGCCUUUUCUGAAAGAUGAGGGUGUGGAAAAGAUUGCACUCAUCAGCCCCCUUAUUGUAUUGCCCCCUGUAAAAGAAUCUGCACAGGCAAAACCAAAGAGUCCCGGUCUUCUAAACAAGAGAGAAGUUUCUGAUCUGCAUCAAGCAAAAGGGGAGGCUGAGAAAGCUGCUCUGUGUGGCACUUCAGGACCGGUGAUUUUUGGCGAGAAAGUGGACGUUGAUGGAGAACUGGACUCCCCAUAUUCUAGCUCAACUCUAGAUGCCCGUCAAGGAUCUCUUACCUUUAAGCAGAGACUAGCCCAGCACCAGUAUCACCUGCUCUCUACUUUGAGCACCACUGUCUCCAAGAGGCAUCAGCCCUUCAGCACUAUGGCAGACCCCAUAGCCCGGGCUACUUCCCUCUUGGGUAGAAACCUCAAACAGUAUGAGCUGACCAAGUCAGCUCUCAAGCACACCUCUGGCCACAGAUUACAUUUUGGCUUCAGAUCCAAGAAUCUAAGGAGGACAGAGCCUGAGCUCCCAAUGCUGUUAGGCACCAGGGUCCCAAUACCAGUGUCGACUCAACGUUUAUUAUGAAGGAGCUACUCAUCAUUCAUUGCCUCAAUUUAUUAAAGUUCUCUGCAUACCGAGAUGACUUAGAGUCAUACCGUAAAUAUAUCAAUUAGUCUAAGGACUAAAGAUGAAUUACUAAUUCAAAUAUUAUUUUAAAUAAUUACUAGAGAAUAUGUUCUGGUCUGAAAACCUUUAAAGAUUUGUAGAUGGUUUUAGAAAUCUUCAUUAUGCCUAUAUUAAUAAUUUACACACAUUUAUUUAGUAGAAACAGUUAGUAGUUAGCCAUUAUCCGUCUCAUCAAUAGUUAGUUUCUGACCCAGACCACAAUUGGCUAAAUACCUUUGGGUAGCAAACCAAUUUUUAUCUGGCAGGGAACCUUUGUGUUAGAACUCCAGCAACACUGCCCUGCCUGAUUCUUUCAUACCAGUGCAACAGCCACUAUCAUGCCACACCCAUGUCAGUAUCAUUGGUGUACUGAGAACCACCCAUUGCCUAGACGUAGGCAUGUCUAAAACUUACCAGUGAUGAACAGACUGGAGAUAAGUACACCUGUAAGAUAGGUGUACUAAUAAAGUGGCCAUGAAGUAUUAGUGCAAUGUAGGAUUUUAUACUCAAGUGAGACUCUAUUAUAUUUAUAUUUAAAAUAUAUACACUAGUAUGUAUAACUUAGGUCACAACAUAGUUUAAUGGAAUUUAGAAAACACACUGAUAGUGGAUCAAUUCAGGAAUGUGGACCACAAGCAGAAUGUAGUGGUAGCUAAACAGAAGACAAUGUGUCAUUGGAAAAAGUGUCUUUGAAAUGCACAUCAUAUGGGCAGCUUCAAAAGUCACCAUUUUAUAUGUAACUUAAUACCAAUACUUAUUUUAAGGGAGGUAAAGGCAUGAUUGCCACCAGUGUUAAAAAGUGUCCACCUUGUACUGCUGGAAAAUGUAAAGUGCAUUACAAAAGACAAUGAAAGCGUAGCUUGCUGUUGCAAGGGCCUUUCAGUAUUUGUAGUAACAGUGCAGCACCCAUUUCUGGUCAAGAGAGCCUUUCCAGUUACCCAGCAACUGAACUGCCUACUUACAAAGGCUGCUCAGUUAUGUAGCCUCAGGUUCCUGUACUUCCCACGUGCCUUAGUAGUUGUGAGCUGUCAGCAGCAGACACCUACAGCCAAAACAAUGUUUAAAACAAUAUUUUCAAGGAGUUUGGAAGAGUUAGUUUGGAUGAAAGCUAGGCACUUCCUUUAGAGAGUCAGAAUUGUGACAGAGAAAAGACUGCUUUCAUUCUAAUUAAAAAGGAUGUCAAUGUAAAUAUUGUGCUAGUGUGUUUAUUACUGCCUUUUUUGACUACUGCAGCCCAUUUCACUUG
Long non-coding RNA from Electrophorus electricus (electric eel), 2509 nucleotides. NCBI's taxonomy places the organism in Eukaryota, Metazoa, Chordata, Actinopteri, Gymnotiformes, Gymnotidae. The record is from Ensembl.